Molecule: unclassified non-coding RNA, 506 nt
Filed under: Hevea brasiliensis (rubber tree)
Lineage: Eukaryota; Viridiplantae; Streptophyta; Magnoliopsida; Malpighiales; Euphorbiaceae
Source: RNAcentral
UCACCAUCGGACUGAGAACACCACCCAGAUUCUUGCCAUUCGCUUUCAUCAGCGCAUGACUUUGCUCGAUCAGAUCCUGCUGGGCGGCGACGGCGCCGAUACCGAGCAGGCGGCCACGAGAACAGAACGCUUCAUUCGAUAUGUCCUUCUUUGGGGUUUAAAGUAACGUCCUCACGCAAAACGUACAUGAAUCGAUCAUUCAGGCUGCUGCCUGACAAGACCAACAAUCUUUUCGCCGGCCGGGAAUUUUUCACAAACGGUGCUGGCGACGGCUUUUCGCGAUUGCCAUCCAGACCCGCUCGGCUGUGGCGGGCAUGUCGAUGUGGUCGAUCCCGUAUUCGCGCCAGAGCCCGUCGAUAAUGGCGUUCACCACCGCGGGGCACGAACCGAUCGCUCCCGCUUCGCCCGCCCCUUUGACGCCAAGCGGAUUGGUCUUGCACGGCACAUUGUGGGUUUCGAACUUGAUGGAAGGACCAUCCGCGGCGCGUGGCAGUGCAUAAUCCAUG